AAUAGAUACCCCCGGGUAGUCCACGCCGUAAACGAUGAGUGCUAAGUGUUAGAGGGUUUCCGCCCUUUAGUGCUGCAGCAAACGCAUUAAGCACUCCGCCUGGGGAGUACGGUCGCAAGACUGAAACUCAAAGGAAUUGACGGGGGGCCCGCACAAGCGGUGGAGCAUGUGGUUUAAUUCGAAGCAACGCGAAGAACCUUACCAGGUCUUGACAUCCUUAUGCCAUCUCUAGAGAUAGAGCUUUCCCUUCGGGGACAUAAGUGACAGGUGGUGCAUGGUUGUCGUCAGCUCGUGUCGUGAGAUGUUGGGUUAAGUCCCGCAACGAGCGCAACCCUUGAUCUUAGUUGCCAGCAUUCAGUUGGGCACUCUAAGGUGACUGCCGGUGACAAACCGGAGGAAGGUGGGGAUGACGUCAAAUCAUCAUGCCCCUUAUGACCUGGGCUACACACGUGCUACAAUGGAUGGUACAAAGGGCAGCGAAACCGCGAGGUUAAGCAAAUCCCAUAAAACCAUUCUCAGUUCGGAUUGC
This 529-nucleotide ribosomal RNA is filed under the name uncultured bacterium. RNAcentral describes it as "bacterial SSU rRNA". It matches the Rfam family "Bacterial small subunit ribosomal RNA", at positions 777 to 1301 of the family's 1533-position model. The record is from RNAcentral.